GAUUAAAGUUGGCGGCGUGCCUAAGGUAUGCAAGUCGAGCGAUCUUUAUUGAGCCGUAAGGCAAGGUAAAGAUAGCGGCGAACGGCUGAGUAACGCGUGGGAAUCUACCCAUAACUCAAGGAUAGCCCACCGAAAGGUGGAGUAAUCCUGGAUGUGGUCUUCGGAUCAAAGUCGCAAGACGGUUGUGGAUGAGCCUGCGUCCUAUCAGGUUGUUGGCAGGGUAAAAGCCUACCAAGCCUUUGACGGGUAGCUGGUCUGAGAGGAUGACCAGCCAGAAUGGGACUGAGACACGGCCCAUACUCCUACGGGUGGCAG
This 315-nucleotide ribosomal RNA is filed under the name uncultured candidate division WS6 bacterium. RNAcentral's name for it is "bacterial SSU rRNA". It matches the Rfam family "Bacterial small subunit ribosomal RNA", at positions 28 to 351 of the family's 1533-position model. The record is from RNAcentral.